RNAcentral lists this long non-coding RNA (364 nucleotides) under Bos taurus (domestic cattle). RNAcentral's name for it is "long non-coding RNA NONBTAT024678". Lineage: Eukaryota; Metazoa; Chordata; Mammalia; Artiodactyla; Bovidae. The record is from RNAcentral.
CCCAAAGCCUCUAGCAUGUAACUUGAUACAUAUGACAUCCUGGUUUGCAGUGUCCACUUAUGAUGCAUUGUUAGUCUCAUCACCCAACCGCCCCCCCACCCACCAUUUUUAACUCCUGGAUGGAUAGCUUCUGCUCCCAAAGCUCACAGUUUGGCAAAGAAGAAACUUGCUCUCAUGAAACAAAACUAUAGAAGACUAUAGCUGCAUCCUUUAAAAAUGACUAAGAGUGGGGAGGCUGCGAGGUGAUUCUAAAGAAGGGAGCAGGAGAGACCCAGAGGGGGAUGACUAAGUGGGACUUCAUUAGCAGAGUAUAUGGAACAUGUAGGGAGUUAUGAGAGAUUCAAGGGGAUACAUGAAUUGGGAC